GUGGGGAAUAUUGGACAAUGGGCGCAAGCCUGAUCCAGCCAUGCCGCGUGAGUGAUGAAGGCCUUAGGGUUGUAAAGCUCUUUUGUCCGGGAAGAUAAUGACUGUACCGGAAGAAUAAGCCCCGGCUAACUUCGUGCCAGCAGCCACGGUAAUACGAAGGGGGCUAGCGUUGUUCGGAAUUACUGGGCGUAAAGCGUGCGUAGGCGGUCAGCCAAGUCAGGGGUGAAAGCCCGGGGCUCAACCUCGGAACUGCCCUUGGGACUGGUUGACUUGAGUAUGGAAGAGGGUAGUGGAAUUCCCAGUGUAGAGGUGAAAUUCGUAGAUAUUGGGAAGAACACCAGUGGCGAAGGCGGCGACCUGGUCCAUUACUAACGCUGAGGUGCGACAGCGUGGGGAGCAAACAGGAUUAGAUACCCGAGUAGUCC
This 425-nucleotide ribosomal RNA is filed under the name uncultured bacterium. RNAcentral describes it as "bacterial SSU rRNA". It matches the Rfam family "Bacterial small subunit ribosomal RNA", at positions 354 to 796 of the family's 1533-position model. The record is from RNAcentral.